GUUUUCCUUCAGAGAUUAUUCACAGAUGUCCCACAGCCCAUAGCAAAUACAGGGCAUAUUAAGUUCAAAUAAAUAUAUGCAAAUAUGUGUGGAAAUGGCCUGUAGCCUGCAGGAGCCUGAGGAGAAGAGAGGAGCUAGCAGCCCCAGUCAAGUCUAGCGAAGUGCAUCUUGGCCUGCAGUGAUGGCUGUUUCCCCCAGAAAGUUCUUCCACUUCUGGAUCCCACCUCGACUGAACCUUACACAAUCUACUGCUGGACUUUCCAAUGGCAUGAGUUGGUCUCAACACGUGGCAGUAGGCAGCAGAAUUAAUUCCCUGUGCCUCCUGCAAUUCCCUGAGCCUCCCUUUCUCAAAACGCCAGCUUUCUCACAAGGAUAGCCUGAGACAUACGGAAGUGGGAAUGAUGUUCUGUUCUCAGGUGAAGUGUUUGUGCAUAUGUGUGUGUCGGGGGAGAGGAAGGUAAGCAAAACCAGUUGUUCUCAGAUGACUUGCAGCACCUGAGCAUGUCCUUUAUUUUAUCUUUUUUUUAAAAAAAAUACUUAAUAGCAUUUUCACUUCCUAGUUUCUCCAUUAUGUUGAAGUUGAAUAGUCUUUGGUAGGUCUUGUCUUACUUUUCAAGAACAUUAUGGGAAUUCUGCAAAAAGAUAGCUACAUGCAAAGCUAUCAUUUCUAUUGUUACAAAAAUAUGUGACACACUUACCUUAUGCUAUCAAAGAUGAAUGCUAUCCUCCACAUAUCCUUUAAAUGGGCUUCACAAGAAGAGGAUGGUCCCAUUUCUGAACAUUGCCUUGUCAAUGGAUGAGGAGGUUUGCACUCAGUCAAACUGGUUAAGCUAGAAUCAUAUUUCCCUAAAUCUCUUGUCCUGUUUAUUUCCAGGUGAUGAUUGGCCAAUAAAAUAAAUUUAGACGUGAUUUGGAUAGUAAAAAUGAAGCCACAGUCACUGAUCACUGAAGAUCAUUGUGGGUACAGGUGGGAGCUAAGAGCUAGCAAGGUAUCAGUGGGAUUUACAAGUCUUUUCUUUAUUCUUUAUCCUGCUCUUCUUGUCAAUUGCCAGAUUUCCUGACCAACAAAGGGCCCAGGCCGACUGCCACAAGUCUGAAUGCAGACCUGCAGAAGCAGCAGCAACUCAAAAGGACAGCAUUCCACAGACCUUCCCUGCACUGCCCUUCAUAGCCCACUCUGCAGCUGGACCUGCCUACUCGCCAUACACCCUGAAAGCUCCCACUUAUCCACCUAACCUCAACUUGCUCUAGUGUUCGAGGAGGGCUGAGUGGUGGUUUUCCUCGGGCCUUCCAACACUUGCCCUUCUCCCCCAAGUAUUACAAGCCCUCAUUCUAAAUAUAUCCCUGAUUUCAUAAUACUAAUAGAAGUGCUGCUUCUCUGAUUAAACCCUGACUGACACAUGGAGUGUUUUAUUACCAUUUAAUAAACAUCAUGUCAAACCUAAUGAUUUACGGUCAACAUAAAUUACACAGGGAAGGUGAGCAAAAGAAUCCCUUUCCUUUUUGCCUCUAUGCUGUUCUAGUUUCAGCUGGCCUGAGCUUCCCUCUCUUGGACUCUUCAGUCUAACAGCUAACCCAUAUAUGACACAAAGAUCAAAGGUCAGAUUCUUGGGCUCCAUUAAGGCUGCUACUUUAAAUGACAGCACUAUUUAUGGACUCUUUAUUGAAGACAGAUCACCCUUGGAGGCUGCCACAACCUUUACUCAUAAAUCAGACAUCAAGUGCCUCUUGGGGGCUAAAUACUGCCUCUCCUGUUGAAGACAUGAAGGGGUGUAACAUAUACUCAAUUUGCUGCCACACAAGGAUUUAGAAUCUGCUUACUCCCUCAACCUAGGACUCAAGGUCCAGACAAGGAAAUUUGAUUUUUUUUUUCUUCCUUUUUCUUUCCCUGCCAGCCACACACACCAG
This 1908-nucleotide long non-coding RNA is filed under the name Homo sapiens (human). RNAcentral's name for it is "HSALNT0371340". The record is from RNAcentral. Lineage: Eukaryota; Metazoa; Chordata; Mammalia; Primates; Hominidae.